Molecule: ribosomal RNA, 253 nt
Filed under: uncultured bacterium
Lineage: Bacteria
Description: partial 16S ribosomal RNA
Rfam family: Bacterial small subunit ribosomal RNA
Source: RNAcentral
UACAGAGGUCUCAAGCGUUGUUCGGAUUCAUUGGGCGUAAAGAGUGCGUAGGCGGCGCGGUAAGUCGGGUGUGAAAUCUCGGAGCUUAACUCCGAAACUGCAUUCGAUACUGCCGUGCUUGAGGACUGGAGAGGAGACUGGAAUUUACGGUGUAGCGGUGAAAUGCGUAGAUAUCGUAAGGAAGACCAGUGGCGAAGGCGGGUCUCUGGACAGUUCCUGACGCUGAGGCACGAAGGCCAGGGGAGCAAACGGG